CGCUCAUCCAGAGGGGCAGAGGGAAACGGCCCGAUGAAGCCCCGGCAACCCUCCAGCCGGCACUCGUAGAUCGCUGGUCAUCGUCGAUCACUCCGCGAGGCUCCCGGCUAGGGAAGGUGCCAAAUCCGUCUCACGGCGAGAUGCGUCGUGAGGAAGAUGAGGA
Molecule: non-coding RNA, 163 nt
Filed under: Streptomyces griseoaurantiacus
Lineage: Bacteria; Bacillati; Actinomycetota; Actinomycetes; Kitasatosporales; Streptomycetaceae
Also listed under: 1 other name
Description: SAM-I sequence
Rfam family: SAM riboswitch aptamer (S box leader)
About the family: The SAM riboswitch is found upstream of a number of genes which code for proteins involved in methionine or cysteine biosynthesis in Gram-positive bacteria. The SAM riboswitch acts at the level of transcription termination control. The predicted structure consists of a complex stem-loop region followed by a single stem loop terminator region.
Source: RNAcentral